This is a long non-coding RNA of Raphanus sativus (radish), 1039 nucleotides long. RefSeq lists it as uncharacterized. Lineage: Eukaryota; Viridiplantae; Streptophyta; Magnoliopsida; Brassicales; Brassicaceae. The record is from RefSeq and is a predicted model, not a curated record. The transcript has 3 exons.
UGUUCAGACUCUUUACAUUUUAGAGAGAACAGUUUUUGUUGUCUUUGAUUUCCUGCCCUUUCAAUUUCCUUGCAAUCACGUAUUUAUACUUUUAUGUUUUGUUUUCUGAUUUUAAAAUUUCCUCAUCUUUUGAUAUGAACAGUCUACUCUGGUCCAAGGGUCUGUUCCUGCGUUUAGAGGGCGUUUAACCGAAGGAUCGGUGUACACCUUAAGUGGGUUCGAUGUCACACUGGUUGCGGAUUUGAAAGCUGGUGGAUGUUCAAACACUGAUGAGGUCUGUUUGCCAAGGUUCUGGGAGGCUAGGAAUGUGAAGAAAGGAGGCAGACUAAUUGUCAACACGUAUGCGAGGAUCCGUUUCAGCGAAGGUUCAGUUUAGACGAUGAGCGGUUUCGACAUUACGCCGAGCAACAACAAUCUUCAUAUGUCUGAUGCACCCCUCUCCAUACGCUUUAGUGAUGUGGCAUUUCCUUUGAAGAGCUAACGGAGAGAUAAAUCAAUGUUUUCAAGACAUACUUGGCGAGCUAAGUACAGUGGGGAGCACAAUCAACGACCGUACACAGGGGGCACAUUGUGUGAUGCUUACUCUCCAGCUAGAAAGGUACUUUGAACUGUUAAAACUCCAGUGGUUAUUGGAAAUAUUUCAACGACAAAAGUUUGGCCCUCUCUGAACCCGGAUCCAGAACAUGUAACAUGGUGUUCAGUUGUAUGGUUUAUUAAGUAGCGAAUACCAAAACGCACGCUUUCAUUGUACGGCUGGUAAGGAAAGAUCGAAUGUACACAGAAUGAUAUCGUUGGGUCUUGAUGUUCACCGAUGUGUUUACUUUGUGGAACUGAAAAUGAAUCAGCAAGUCAUCUAUUCUUUGAUUGUCAGUUUUCUUAUGCGGUAGGGAGCAAAUUAUUAGAAAGAAGUGGACUUAACUCUCCUACAUCUCUAGCAGAUAUCACUGCUUGGAUCACAUCAUCUCAGGAGGAAGGGAAAAUAAAAACAGUUUCUAACACUCGGGUUCCUUAUCUACUGAUAUAUGUAUGUUUUCUUAUG